RNAcentral lists this ribosomal RNA (229 nucleotides) under uncultured bacterium. RNAcentral's name for it is "partial 16S ribosomal RNA". It matches the Rfam family "Bacterial small subunit ribosomal RNA", at positions 568 to 796 of the family's 1533-position model. The record is from RNAcentral.
UCCGUAGGCGGGCGUCUAAGUCAGUGGUGGAAUCUUACAGCUCAACUGUAAAAUUGCCAUUGAUACUGGAUGUCUUGAAUUAGUGUGAAGUGGUUAGAAUGUGUAGUGUAGCGGUGAAAUGCAUAGAUAUUACACAGAAUACCAAUUGCGAAGGCAGAUCACUAACACUAUAUUGACGCUGAGGGACGAAAGCGUGGGUAGCGAACAGGAUUAGAUACCCUGGUAGUCC